Molecule: long non-coding RNA, 500 nt
Filed under: Chlamydomonas reinhardtii
Lineage: Eukaryota; Viridiplantae; Chlorophyta; Chlorophyceae; Chlamydomonadales; Chlamydomonadaceae
Description: long non-coding RNA (CREI_LNC001472)
Source: RNAcentral
ACACAACGCGAAGACUAUCGGCCACCCCGCAACCGCAGCCGCACACCAAUCUAUAUCCUUGAAAUAGGAUACAGCUCUGACUCCCAACACCUACACAAACGAGAAGAGAAGUCCCAACAACACCAAGAACUCAAACAACUCCUAGAAGAAGCUGGAUGGACCGUCCACUACUCACCCGCCGAGUGCAUCGCCCUAGGCGUCACUGGUACCAUACCCGCAAACCUGGUCCCACUCCUGACCACCCCAGGCGUGUCCCCCAAGGCGGCCAAAGCCUGCGGACACAAGCUCCACCACCACGCCGUCAAUAGUGCUGGAGGCAUAAUUAAAGCCCGCAGGAUCAUGGAAUACGGGCACACGAGGACCCCAGGGUGAUGUCCCCAACCGGCCCCCCUUGCGUGGUGAGGCGGCAGGGUAGGGGAUGGGCCCCUUCACUGACCCGCCUUGCCCCGAUAAUCCACGCCAGGCCCUACGGGCCGGCGUUUCGAUUAUUAUUAUUAUUA